This 349-nucleotide ribosomal RNA is filed under the name uncultured eukaryote. RNAcentral's name for it is "SSU rRNA". It matches the Rfam family "Eukaryotic small subunit ribosomal RNA", at positions 623 to 977 of the family's 1831-position model. The record is from RNAcentral.
AAAGCUCGUAGUUGGAUUUCUGUUGAGGUCGGGCGGUGUGCACCUCGUGCAUUAUUUGCUUCGGUCUCGGCAUCCUCUUGGGGAACGUUUCAGGACUUCAUUGGACUGGGCGAGAUUCAAGACUUUUACUUUGAGGAAAUUAGAGUGUUCACGGCAGGCAAGUGCUUUGAAUACAUUAGCAUGGAAUAAUAAUAUAGGAUCUUCGUUCUAUUUUGUUGGUUUCUAGAACUUAGGUAAUGAUUAAUAGGGACAAUUGGGGGCAUUCGUAUUAACGCGUCAGAGGUGGAAUUCUUGGAUUGCGUUACGACAAACUACUGCGAAAGCAUUUGCCAAAGAUGUUUUCAUUGAU